AGCGAACGCUGGCGGCAGGCUUAACACAUGCAAGUCGAGCGGGCGUAGCAAUACGUCAGCGGCAGACGGGUGAGUAACGCGUGGGAACAUACCUUUUGGUUCGGAACAACACAGGGAAACUUGUGCUAAUACCGGAUAAGCCCUUACGGGGAAAGAUUUAUCGCCGAAAGAUUGGCCCGCGUCUGAUUAGCUAGUUGGUGAGGUAACGGCUCACCAAGGCGACGAUCAGUAGCUGGUCGAGAGGAUGAUCAGCCACAUUGGGACUGAGACACGGCCCAAACUCCUACGGGAGGCAGCAGUGGGGAAUAUUGGACAAUGGGCGCAAGCCUGAUCCAGCCAUGCCGCGUGAGUGAUGAAGGCCCUAGGGUUGUAAAGCUCUUUUGUGCGGGAAGAUAAUGACGGUACCGCAAGAAUAAGCCCCGGCUAACUUCGUGCCAGCAGCCGCGGUAAU
This 451-nucleotide ribosomal RNA is filed under the name uncultured bacterium. RNAcentral's name for it is "bacterial SSU rRNA". It matches the Rfam family "Bacterial small subunit ribosomal RNA", at positions 29 to 524 of the family's 1533-position model. The record is from RNAcentral.